CAGCCGUAAACUAUGCGCGUUAGGUGUACUGGUGACCACGAGUCACCGGGGUGCCGAAGGGAAACCGUGAAACGUGCCGCCUGGGAAGUACGGUCGCAAGGCUGAAACUUAAAGGGAAUUGGCGGGGGGAGCACCACAACGGGUGGAGCCUGCGGUUUAAUUGGACUCAACGCCGGACAACUCACCGGGGACGACAGCAAUAUGUAGGCCAGGCUGAAGACCUUGCCUGAAUCGCUGAGAGGUGGUGCAU
This 250-nucleotide ribosomal RNA is filed under the name uncultured archaeon. RNAcentral's name for it is "partial 16S ribosomal RNA". It matches the Rfam family "Archaeal small subunit ribosomal RNA", at positions 748 to 995 of the family's 1478-position model. The record is from RNAcentral.